UACAGAGGUCUCAAGCGUUGUUCGGAAUCACUGGGCGUAAAGCGUGCGUGGGCUGUUUCGUAAGUCGUGUGUGAAAGGCGCGGGCUCAACCCGCGGACGGCACAUGAUACUGCGAGACUAGAGUAAUGGAGGGGGAACCGGAAUUCUCAGUGUAGCAGUGAAAUGCGUAGAUAUCGAGAGGAACACUCGUGGCGAAGGCGGGUUCCUGGACAUUAACUGACGCUGAGGCACGAAGGCCAGGGGAGCGAAAGGG
Molecule: ribosomal RNA, 253 nt
Filed under: uncultured bacterium
Lineage: Bacteria
Description: partial 16S ribosomal RNA
Rfam family: Bacterial small subunit ribosomal RNA
Source: RNAcentral